Long non-coding RNA from Myxocyprinus asiaticus (Chinese sucker), 1580 nucleotides. RefSeq lists it as uncharacterized. The record is from RefSeq and is a predicted model, not a curated record. The transcript has 2 exons. Lineage: Eukaryota; Metazoa; Chordata; Actinopteri; Cypriniformes; Catostomidae.
CACAGCAGACGGCAUGUCAGCGGCUCCACCUGGAAGAUGUGUUUUUAAUGUUGUGAGACACAAACGAUACUGCAAGAUGGUUUUUGAAAAAGGAAAAACCUUAAGCGGGAAACAUGCAAACACCCAUAAACACUAGGCUAGUUGGUCAAACAAUAAAGCUUACACAUUUUCUUAUGUAGUGAAUUUAUUUACAGCUGUUUGCUUAAACUUAAGUGUCAUGUUCCUGGGGAGAUUUUAAACAGAACAUUUUGAGUUCUCUUUUCCUGCCCAUUUUGUUGUUGUGUUGGCCUACAGAAAGUCCUCUGUUGUGAGACUUUGCUGUCUUGCAAAACAGUAAAUUCUUAAUUUCAAAAUUUUUCACAAUGCUGCUGUAAUGAAAUAUACAUGUAGCGUCAUUCCUCUCUCUGUGCCUCAAAUGCUCUUUCGCACACUUUCAAUAGAUUUGGCUCUUCAGUGUUUAUUUGAACACAUCUUCAUAGACAAAAAAGAUCAGCCUACAAGCAAACGCAUUAAACUUUAGCCAAAGGAGGGAGCAGGGGAUGAAAUGGAGCCCAUUCCACCAACCGAAGGUAGAGCGCUCGUAGUGUCAGGAUUGACCAUCGCUUUGUGCUGUCACCACCGCUGUGAUUGGAGAUACUACAUGGGGAAAGAGUUCUUCAGGCAGUGAGGUCAUGGACCAGAAGAGUUUGCUGCUUUUCAAUGCAUGUUAAGCUGGGCCACAUGCGGCAUGAGAAAAUUGAGUUCUACGAUAUCAGAGCAAACAAGUGACCAUAAAACAACAAGGGGAUGAAGAAGAACAUAAAAAGAGUGGGGAAGCUUUUUGGUAAAUGGUAAAUGGUAACAGUGUUAUGUCAGUUGAAGACUGGGAACAAAUCGGACGCCUAUGUAAACUUAUAAUUGACAUGGGGAGAGUUUUUUUUACCUCCAGCAAAGAGGCUUUGAAUCCAGCCUGAAGUAUUACACAAGCAGAGACGUGUCAUUGGAGAACGUGCUACUAACUGUCAUUCCCACAACCAGUCGGAACAGAGAUGUAUUUGAAUUGCCUUCUUAAAACAAACAGUAGGUUGCAUAGACAAGGCAAAGCACAUAAUAGCCAGCAGUGCUGUGCAGAACAUGUAUGAUUCUUUUUAUUUGAUCAAUGUUUAUGGAUUUUUAUUUUAUUUUAACCCAUCCACAAACAUAAGUUAUGACAAACAAGCAGAAGCACAAAGCAGGAAAGUCAAAUCCAACCAACUGCACAGAGAACAAAACAUUUUCUAAGUUCAUUUAAAAGACAAGAGAAGCACAGAGGACUCUUCACAGGGCUUGUGGGACAACACUUGGCUUGAUGAACCAGAAGAUCAGGCCAAGCCCUUUGAAGGCAGACGAGCAGAAAGUAGCCAGCAAGCAAGUCACAAAGACGAUGCUAUCUCUGGCACAGCAUCCAACAUCACAUUUAGUACUGACAUGAAAGUUUGGGAUCCUGAAAUACAUAUUUAAUGCAAAAGUUGGUCAGUAACAUGGUCUGAUUACUUCAGUUCUAGUUCUGUUUUAUUUAUUCAAUUUUUUACAUUAAAGUUCUACCAGUUAUGUACACAGUA